This 455-nucleotide ribosomal RNA is filed under the name uncultured Desulfuromonas sp. RNAcentral's name for it is "bacterial SSU rRNA". It matches the Rfam family "Bacterial small subunit ribosomal RNA", at positions 926 to 1382 of the family's 1533-position model. The record is from RNAcentral. Lineage: Bacteria; Pseudomonadati; Thermodesulfobacteriota; Desulfuromonadia; Desulfuromonadales; Desulfuromonadaceae.
CAAGCGGUGGAGCAUGUGGUUAAUUCGACGCAACGCGCAGAACCUACCUGGGCUUGACAUCCCGAUCGCACUUCUGGAAACAGAGAGGUCAGUUCGGCUGGAUCGGUGACAGGUGCUGCAUGGCUGUCGUCAGCUCGUGUCGUGAGAUGUUGGGUUAAGUCCCGCAACGAGCGCAACCCUCGUCCUUAGUUGCCAGCAUUAAGUUGGGCACUCUAAGGAGACUGCCGGUGUUAAACCGGAGGAAGGCGGGGAUGACGUCAAGUCCUCAUGGCCCUUAUGUCCAGGGCUACACACGUGCUACAAUGGCCGGUACAAAGGGUAGCAAGACCGCGAGGUGGAGCCAAUCCCAAAAAGCCGGUCUCAGUUCGGAUUGGAGUCUGCAACUCGACUCCAUGAAGUUGGAAUCGCUAGUAAUCGUGGAUCAGCAUGCCACGGUGAAUACGUUCCCGGGCCUU